GACGAACGCUGGCGGCGUGCUUAACACAUGCAAGUCGAACGGAAAGGCCCUGCUUUUGUGGGGUGCUCGAGUGGCGAACGGGUGAGUAACACGUGAGUAACCUGCCCUUGACUUUGGGAUAACUUCAGGAAACUGGGGCUAAUACCGGAUAGGAGCUCCUGCUGCAUGGUGGGGGUUGGAAAGUUUCGGCGGUUGGGGAUGGACUCGCGGCUUAUCAGCUUGUUGGUGGGGUAGUGGCUUACCAAGGCUUUGACGGGUAGCCGGCCUGAGAGGGUGACCGGCCACCUUGGGACUGAGAUACGGCCCAGACUCCUACGGGAGGCAGCAGUGGGGAAUAUUGCACAAUGGGCGGAAGCCUGAUGCAGCAACGCCGCGUGCGGGAUGACGGCCUUCGGGUUGUAAACCGCUUUCGCCUGUGACGAAGCGUGAGUGACGGUAAUGGGUAAAGAAGCAUCGGCUAACUACGUG
RNAcentral lists this ribosomal RNA (468 nucleotides) under uncultured bacterium. RNAcentral's name for it is "partial 16S ribosomal RNA". It matches the Rfam family "Bacterial small subunit ribosomal RNA", at positions 28 to 507 of the family's 1533-position model. The record is from RNAcentral.